This 492-nucleotide ribosomal RNA is filed under the name uncultured bacterium. Its description in RNAcentral is "partial 16S ribosomal RNA". It matches the Rfam family "Bacterial small subunit ribosomal RNA", at positions 29 to 507 of the family's 1533-position model. The record is from RNAcentral.
AGUGAACGCUGGCGGUAGGCCUAACACAUGCAAGUCGAACGGCAGCACAGUAAGAGCUUGCUCUUACGGGUGGCGAGUGGCGGACGGGUGAGGAAUACAUCGGAAUCUACUUUUUCGUGGGGGAUAACGGAGGGAAACUUACGCUAAUACCGCAUACGACCUACGGGUGAAAGCAAGGGAUCUUCGGACCUUGCGCGAUUCAAUUAGCCGAUGUCGGAUUAGCUAGUUGGCAGGGUAAAGGCCCACCAAGCCGACGAUCCGUAGCUGGUCUGAGAGGAUGAUCAGCCACACUGGAACUGAGACACGGUCCAGACUCCUACGGGAGGCAGCAGUGGGGAAUAUUGGACAAUGGGCGCAAGCCUGAUCCAGCCAUACCGCGUGGGUGAAGAAGGCCUUCGGGUUGUAAAGCCCUUUUGUUGGGAAAGAAAAGCAGCAGGUUAAUACCCCGCUGUUCUGACGGUACCCAAAGAAUAAGCACCGGCUAACUUCGUG